UGCACUUGCCAGGCAAGUGCUGUGCCGCUGAGCUAAAUCCCCAGCCCAUAAGCUAAAUCCCCAGCCCUGUGUUGCAUUGAUUAAAAAGACUACAGUCUGCUCAGAUGUGUCCAUACACAAAGGCUGAUCAAAAAUAUGAGGAACGGGGACAGGACCCAGAGGUGGAGAGUACUCUUUCGGGUGCGGAGAAAGCCAUCUUCUCAGGCAGAUGAAUCACAAAGACAGAAGAGCCCAGGUCCCUGGAGGCAUCACUAUGUACUAAGUUACACCAACCCAGACCUGCCUGCUUCUGGAUUUCCUGUUACAGGCAGGAAACAGAUCCAUUUGUAGUUUGUGUUGCUGAUUGUUCAAUUUUUGCCCUUUGCAAGCAAGUUCACUCUCAGCGGACACAGCCUUGAACUUCAGAGCUGCUUUGUGGAAUACGGCGGGCUUAAGAUACUAUGAGAAGGCCCUGGAGAAUUGAGGGCUCUUAUGUUUUUUUGUUUUGGGUUUUUGGUUUUUCUCCGGUACCGGGAAUCGAACUCAUGACCUUGCGCUUGCCAGGCAGGGGCUGUGCCGCUGAGCUAAAUCCCGAGCCCCUGAGGGCCCUUACGAAGGGGACAAAUUCCCCCUCCGCAUUUUCCCACCCGCCUGUGAAACAGACACCGACACCCUCAUGGAUGUAUCAGGAAGAACCUUGGUACCCCCGACACUGGCUCUGCACCGAGAGAGGAGAGGGGCCUCUUGGGUUGGCACAGAGGGCAAAGGGCACCAGGCACACACCACUAGCCUGUUCGUGGCGCUCUCUCUGGGACUGACCCGGCUCCCCAGCCUGUUCUGCGUCUGCUCCUACCCCCUCCUGCUAACAGCACUGGGGCUGGCCCGGCCCCUACUGCGAGGACUUCAAUAGCCCAGCUGCUCUGCCGAGAGUGGGUGGGUGAGUUCAAGUCAGGGGAGGAGGAUAGGAAACCCAUUUGGGCCUUGGGUCUCGGCCCAUCUGGACCAGCAAUAAAGCUGACAUUUUAAUCUCU
Chinchilla lanigera (long-tailed chinchilla) is the source of this 1010-nucleotide long non-coding RNA. RefSeq lists it as uncharacterized. The record is from RefSeq and is a predicted model, not a curated record. The transcript is spliced from 2 exons. NCBI's taxonomy places the organism in Eukaryota, Metazoa, Chordata, Mammalia, Rodentia, Chinchillidae.